Molecule: ribosomal RNA, 274 nt
Filed under: uncultured bacterium
Lineage: Bacteria
Description: partial 16S ribosomal RNA
Rfam family: Bacterial small subunit ribosomal RNA
Source: RNAcentral
AUACGGAGGGGGCUAACGUUGCUCGGAAUUACUGGGCGUAAAGGGCGUGUAGGCGGGACAUCAAGUUAGGCGUGAAAGCCCCGGGCUCAACCCGGGAACUGCGCUUGAUACUGGUGACCUAGAGUCCGUGAGAGGGUGGUGGAAUUCCCAGUGUAGAGGUGAAAUUCGUAGAUAUUGGGAAGAACACCGGUGGCGAAGGCGGCUACCUGGACCGGUACUGACGCUAAGGUGCGAAAGCGUGGGGAGCAAACAGGAUUAGAUACCCGAGUAGUCC